RNAcentral lists this ribosomal RNA (641 nucleotides) under uncultured Actinomycetes bacterium. RNAcentral's name for it is "bacterial SSU rRNA". It matches the Rfam family "Bacterial small subunit ribosomal RNA", at positions 71 to 725 of the family's 1533-position model. The record is from RNAcentral. Lineage: Bacteria; Bacillati; Actinomycetota; Actinomycetes.
AAAGCACCUUUUAGGUGUGUAUAAAGUGGCGAACGGCUGAGUAACACGUGGGCAACCUGCCCUCCUCUUGGGGAUAGCCUCGGGAAACCGAGGAUAAUACCCGAUACUUCAAUGUGGCCGCAUGACGACAUUGAGAAAGCUUUUGCGGAGAAGGAUGGGCCCGCGGCCUGUUAGCUUGUUGGUGGGGUAGAGGCCUACCAAGGCAAUGAUGGGUAGCUGGGUUGAGAGACCGACCAGCCAGAUUGGGACUGAGACACGGCCCAGACUCCUACGGGAGGCAGCAGUGGGGAAUCUUGCACAAUGGGCGAAAGCCUGAUGCAGCGACGCCGCGUGCGGGACGAAGGCCUUCGGGUUGUAAACCGCUUUCAGCAGGGACGAGGCGAAAGUGACGGUACCUGCAGAAGAAGCCCCGGCUAACUACGUGCCAGCAGCCGCGGUAAUACGUAGGGGGCAAGCGUUAUCCGGAUUCAUUGGGCGUAAAGCGCUCGUAGGCGGUCUGUUAGGUCGGGAGUUAAAUCCGGAGGCUCAACCUCCGCCCGCUCCCGAUACCGGCAGACUUGAGUUUGGUAGGGGAAGGUGGAAUUCCUAGUGUAGCGGUGGAAUACGCAGAUAUUAGGAAGAACACCAGUGGCGAAGGCGGC